GCCAGGUGCGGUAGCACAUGCCUGUAGUCCCAGCUACUCAGGAGGCUGAGGCAGGAAGAUCAAUUGAACCCAGGAGUUCUAUGCUGUGGUGCACUAUUCCAAUCAGGUGUCUGCACUAAUUGAAGCAUCACUAUGGUGACAUUCUGGGAGUAGGGGACUACCAGGUUGACUAAGGAGGGAUUAAAUAGCUCAGGAAAUAAACAGAGCAGGUCUAAACUCCCAUGCUGAUCAGUAGUGGGAUUGUUUCUGUGAAAAACCACUGUACUCCAGGGGCAACAUAGUGACACCCUGUAUCUA
Homo sapiens (human) is the source of this 297-nucleotide non-coding RNA. It matches the Rfam family "Metazoan signal recognition particle RNA". Rfam says of the family: The signal recognition particle (SRP) is a universally conserved ribonucleoprotein. The record is from Rfam. NCBI's taxonomy places the organism in Eukaryota, Metazoa, Chordata, Mammalia, Primates, Hominidae.